GUGCUCACUUCAGCAGCAAAUAUACUAAAAUUGGAACGAUACAGAGAAUAUUAGCAUGGCCCCUGUGCAAGGAUGACCCACAAAUCCGUGAGGCAGGCCAUAUUUUU
This is a small nuclear RNA of Nycticebus coucang (slow loris), 107 nucleotides long. Lineage: Eukaryota; Metazoa; Chordata; Mammalia; Primates; Lorisidae. The record is from RefSeq and is a predicted model, not a curated record.